GACGAACGCUGGCGGCGUGCCUAAUACAUGCAAGUCGAACGGGAUUCUUUGAUCAGCUUGCUGAGAGAAGGAUCUAGUGGCGGACGGGUGAGUAACGCGUGGGAAUCUGCCUCUUACUGGGGGAUAACAGUGGGAAACUACUGCUAAUACCGCAUAAGAUCUUCGGAUGAAAGGUGCAACUGCACCGGUAAGAGAUGAGCCCGCGUCCCAUUAGCUAGUUGGUGAGGUAAAGGCUCACCAAGGCGACGAUGGGUAGCCGGCCUGAGAGGGUGAACGGCCACACUGGGACUGAGACACGGCCCAGACUCCUACGGGGGGCAGCAGUAGGGAAUUUUCGGCAAUGGGCGAAAGCCUGACCGAGCGACGCCGCGUGAGGGACGAAGGCCUUCGGGUUGUAAACCUCUGUCUGGGGGAGUGAGAACGGACGGUACCCCCGGACGGAAGCCCCGGCUAACUACGUGCCAGCAGCCGCGGUAAGCUACGUAGA
RNAcentral lists this ribosomal RNA (487 nucleotides) under uncultured bacterium. RNAcentral's name for it is "bacterial SSU rRNA". It matches the Rfam family "Bacterial small subunit ribosomal RNA", at positions 28 to 531 of the family's 1533-position model. The record is from RNAcentral.